UACGUAGGUGGCAAGCGUUGUCCGGAAUCAUUGGGCGUAAAGCGCGUGUAGGCGGUUCAGUAAGUCUGCUGUGAAAGUCCAGGGCUCAACCCUGGGAUGCCGGUGGAUACUGCUGGGCUAGAGUACGGAAGAGGCGAGUGGAAUUCCCGGUGUAGCGGUGAAAUGCGCAGAUAUCGGGAGGAACACCAAUUGCGAAGGCAGCUCGCUGGGACGUUACUGACGCUGAGACGCGAAAGCGUGGGGAGCAAACAGG
Molecule: ribosomal RNA, 253 nt
Filed under: uncultured bacterium
Lineage: Bacteria
Description: partial 16S ribosomal RNA
Rfam family: Bacterial small subunit ribosomal RNA
Source: RNAcentral